AUGAGCGGCGGCGGCAGCCCGAGCGGGCCGGACUCUCGCGUGGAGACCAUCUCCCGCCUCGCCCAGUGGCGCAUCGACACCUUCGGCCCCUGCUCCUACCGCCGCUCCGACCCUUUCAAGCUCGGCAUCUGGAACUGGUACCUGUCGGUGGAGAAGAGCAGGUCGGUGUACGUGCGCCUCUUCCCGGAGCCCGGCCGGCUGGCCAAGGAGCAGCCGCCGCUCGCCCGCUUCGUGCUCCGCGUCUCCUGGGUUGGCCCGCCGCGCCGCUCCAGCGUCUCCCCAGUUUUCGAGCAGCUUCUCCGUAGCAGCGACGAUUUUGUGUGGCAAGUUGAUGUGAUGUCCCAUGGGCGUUUUACGAUUGACGUCGAGUUCUUGGACCUGAAGAUAGCCACGAACAAUGGCACUGAAUCAUCAUCGUCGAUCUGGCCGAACGAAGGCAUGGUGCAGGGCGUGGCCAGCAAGAGCACGCUGGGCUGCCUCUCGCGCAUGCUCACGGAGUCCAUCCACGCGGACGUGACCAUCAACACGACGGACGGCGUCCUGAAGGCGCACAAGUCGGUGCUGGCGGCGUGCUCCCCGGUGUUCGAGAGCAUGUUCGUCCACGACCUCAAGGAGAAGUCGUCGUCGACGAUCGACAUCGGGGACAUGUGCGUGGAGUCGUGCUCGGCCCUGCUGGGGUUCGUGUACGGGACGAUCCGGCAGGAGCAGUUCUGGAAGCACCGGCUGGCGCUGCUGGCGGCGGCGAACAAGUACGGGCUGGGCGAGGUGAAGUCGUGCUGCGAGGAGAGCCUGCUGGAGGACAUCAGCUCGGGCAACGUGCUGGAGCGGCUCCACGUGGCGUGGCUGUACCAGCUGGAGCGGCUCAAGAAGGGGUGCCUGGCGUACCUGUUUGUGUUCGGGAAGAUCUACGACGUGCGGGACGAGAUCAGCGGGUUCUUCCAGCACGCGGACCGCGAGCUCACCCUGGAGAUGUUCCAGGAGGUGCUCAGCGUGUGGAAGCCCAUCUGA
This 1008-nucleotide ribosomal RNA is filed under the name Triticum aestivum (bread wheat). Its description in RNAcentral is "partial small subunit ribosomal RNA". Lineage: Eukaryota; Viridiplantae; Streptophyta; Magnoliopsida; Poales; Poaceae. The record is from RNAcentral.